CCGAAUAAAGGGAAGCUUUUAAUUCGAUAGUGUUUAGUGGGAAAGUUAAAGCCAUUCUUUAAAAAAAAUCACUUUGUUAGCCGUUAUUGAGUAUCUGUUUCACAAAUGACAAAUAUCGUAACCACAAUACCGCCUUCUCUUCUUCAAAUGUUUAUCUAAAUCUUCAACAAGACUUUUAACUGCAUCCUUGUUAUCAUCCUAGCAUACAUUUUUGAUCCAAGGGUGAUUCAUUUUACGAAAUUUGGCAAAUAAGGUAUUUUUCGCCUACUAGUAGUCAAUUCAAAUAUGUAAUAAAAAUGUGCCUCCAUGUGAUGCCUUAAUAGAUACGAGGCAGCAGUUUUAGACAUUUGCGCACAAAUUUGAUUCAGUGGACUUUU
RNAcentral lists this long non-coding RNA (377 nucleotides) under Mytilus galloprovincialis (Mediterranean mussel). The record is from RNAcentral. Lineage: Eukaryota; Metazoa; Mollusca; Bivalvia; Mytilida; Mytilidae.